RNAcentral lists this ribosomal RNA (468 nucleotides) under Clostridioides difficile. Its description in RNAcentral is "bacterial SSU rRNA". It matches the Rfam family "Bacterial small subunit ribosomal RNA", at positions 1071 to 1533 of the family's 1533-position model. Lineage: Bacteria; Bacillati; Bacillota; Clostridia; Peptostreptococcales; Peptostreptococcaceae. The record is from RNAcentral.
GAUGUUGGGUUAAGUCCCGCAACGAGCGCAACCCUUGUCUUUAGUUGCCAUCAUUAAGUUGGGCACUCUAGAGAGACUGCCAGGGAUAACCUGGAGGAAGGUGGGGAUGACGUCAAAUCAUCAUGCCCCUUAUGCUUAGGGCUACACACGUGCUACAAUGGGUAGUACAGAGGGUUGCCAAGCCGUAAGGUGGAGCUAAUCCCUUAAAGCUACUCUCAGUUCGGAUUGUAGGCUGAAACUCGCCUACAUGAAGCUGGAGUUACUAGUAAUCGCAGAUCAGAAUGCUGCGGUGAAUGCGUUCCCGGGUCUUGUACACACCGCCCGUCACACCCCGGGAGUUGGAGACGCCCGAAGCCGAUUAUCUAACCUUUUGGAAGAAGUCGUCGAAGGUGGAAUCAAUAACUGGGGUGAAGUCGUAACAAGGUAGCCGUAUCGGAAGGUGCGGCUGGAUCACCUCCUUUCUAAGGA